RNAcentral lists this ribosomal RNA (903 nucleotides) under uncultured Bacillota bacterium. Its description in RNAcentral is "bacterial SSU rRNA". It matches the Rfam family "Bacterial small subunit ribosomal RNA", at positions 1 to 917 of the family's 1533-position model. Lineage: Bacteria; Bacillati; Bacillota. The record is from RNAcentral.
UGGAUCCAGACUUUGAUUAUGGCUCAGGACGAACGCUGGCGGCGCGCCUAACACAUGCAAGUCGAACGAGAGAUGAGGAGCUUGCUCUUCAAAUCGAGUGGCGAACGGGUGAGUAACGCGUGAGGAACCUGCCUCAAAGAGGGGGACAACAGUUGGAAACGACUGCUAAUACCGCAUAAGCCCACAGCUCGGCAUCGAGCAGAGGGAAAAGGAGUGAUCCGCUUUGAGAUGGCCUCGCGUCCGAUUAGCUAGUUGGUGAGGUAACGGCCCACCAAGGCAACGAUCGGUAGCCGGACUGAGAGGUUGAACGGCCACAUUGGGACUGAGACACGGCCCAGACUCCUACGGGAGGCAGCAGUGGGGAAUAUUGCACAAUGGGGGAAACCCUGAUGCAGCGACGCCGCGUGGAGGAAGAAGGUCUUCGGAUUGUAAACUCCUGUUGCUGAGGAAGAUAAUGACGGUACUCAACAAGGAAGUGACGGCUAACUACGUGCCAGCAGCCGCGGUAAAACGUAGGUCACAAGCGUUGUCCGGAAUUACUGGGUGUAAAGGGAGCGCAGGCGGGAGAACAAGUUGGAAGUGAAAUCCAUGGGCUCAACCCAUGAACUGCUUUCAAAACUGUUUUUCUUGAGUAGUGCAGAGGUAGGCGGAAUUCCCGGUGUAGCGGUGGAAUGCGUAGAUAUCGGGAGGAACACCAGUGGCGAAGGCGGCCUACUGGGCACCAACUGACGCUGAGGCUCGAAAGUGUGGGUAGCAAACAGGAUUAGAUACCCUGGUAGUCCACACCGUAAACGAUGAUUACUAGGUGUUGGAGGAUUGACCCCUUCAGUGCCGCAGUUAACACAGUAAGUAAUCCACCUGGGGAGUACGACCGCAAGGUUGCAACUCAAAGGAAUUGACGGA